Molecule: long non-coding RNA, 680 nt
Organism: Sycon ciliatum
Lineage: Eukaryota; Metazoa; Porifera; Calcarea; Leucosolenida; Sycettidae
Exons: 5
Source: RefSeq, a predicted model, not a curated record
CGCGAAAUUAUUCCAAAAGAAAAGACUUUUCCUCAAUUCCUCGUGUUCACUUUGAUUGCGAUCUUGUGCAGGAUGGCUUGCAACUGCCAUCAAAAGUCUCUUGCAAUGUCUCUCUUUCAUCCAUCCGUGGACGCUUUUACGUGACUCAUGAUGAAAACUGUUGGUGAUGGCUCCGAAAUAUACACUGCAAAUUUGCAGUGCAGUACAAAAACAAUGAAGAAAUUAUGCUGACAGCACACUGACCAGGCUGCAUGGGGGCAUUCCAACCUCGUGUUUCAGUAGCCUGGCCAUGUUCUCCAUCCUUGCAGUGCCGAUAAUACAGAUUGUGCUGGCCACCAACUGGACCGCUUUAUCCACAAAGGCUUCUCUAUGGUGGUGGUCUACUGCGAAGAUUGCAGACAUCCCUGUUCAUACGCUGUGCCUGCUUGGUGAAAUGGUUCUUCUAUUGACGUGACUACUGCUGAAAGCCGAAUUACUUGCAACCAACCAUACCUGUGCCUGGUGGUGAAUUGGUUCGUCAGGAGCGCGCUUCGUCGACCCGUAAUGUCAUAGCUUGUUAUUCUGCUGCUUGUCAUCGUGCAUGUCUAUCCUAUUCUGCCGUGAGGUCAUUGCAUAGUGUACCACUGCUUCUGCCUUUUGACUAUCAAGUUGGCCCCGCGGUCAGCAUUUCCGUAACCAUA